AAGUCCCAGGGAGCCGCCGGGGAGGGUUGAUUGGGCGCUCACGGGGCGUGCAGUGGCAAAGCGAGACCAUUUCCCGGCAAGAGCGCCAGUUCUCUGCUCUGCUCGGCCGGGAAGUCCGGGGCGGACGAGCGGAAAGCUCUUCCAUCCAGGCCAGCUGCCUGGAGCAAGCCGAGUGGCCUGGAUGUCCCUGAUUGUUGUUGUUGUUGUUGUUUAUACUGCGAGCACGAAAUUACUCCCCAGGGCCUCCUCCCCCGCCCGCUCCACCUGCUCCUCCCUCCUGUUGUAACAUGCCAUUAGAGAGCCUGCGACCUCAUUUCCAAGGGUGCUAGAGUUCGCAUUCAGCCACCAUGGGGAAUGGGAUGAACAAGACCCAGUUUAUGGAAGAACUGUGUGAUUUGGGCCUGCAUAUCUGAGACUUUAUGAUCCUGCCUGGCCUAUACAUUGGCAACUUCAAAGAUGCCAGAGAUGCAGAGCAACUGAGUAAGAACAAGGUGACACAUAUUCUGUCUGUCCAUGAUAGUGCCAGGCCUCUGUUGGAGGGGGUUAAAUACCUGUGCAUUCCAGCAGCGGAUUCACCGUCUCAGAACCUGACAAGACAUUUCAAAGAAAGUAUUAAAUUCAUUCACGAGUGCCGCCUCAGGGGUGAGGGCUGUCUUGUACACUGCCUGGCGGGCGUCUCCAGGAGUGUGACUCUGGUGAUCGCAUACAUCAUGACCGUCACCGACUUUGGCUGGGAGGAUGCCCUGCACACUGUGCGUGCAGGGAGAUCCUGUGCCAACCCCAACCUGGGCUUCCAGAGACAGCUCCAGGAGUUCGAGAAGCAUGAAGUCCACCAGUACCGGCAGUGGCUGAAGGAAGAAUAUGGAGAGAGCCCUUUGCGGGAUGCAGAAGAAGCCAAAAACAUUCUGGGUAAAUAUAAAGAGCAAGGGCGUGUGGAGUCCCAGCCUGGUACAAGGCGGUGGAGCAGCUUUCAGACCCUGCCUCCUUUGGCCUACAGCAACUAUACGACGGAGACCUAGUAACUGAGUGAUCUGGUGCCUACCUUUCCAUCCCUUGUCUUCAGUGCAUUUCUGCUGGGUGCCCGGGUGUGCUGGCUGCCCCCAUGGAGGACAGGAAAGGGAGGGUGGCAAAGGUGGAUCCAGGUUCCCUCUCCAUGAAUCCACCAGCCCUGCCCCAGGCCCCUUCAUCCUGCCCACUCCUGCCCUGCCUGAGUUUGGAGAGUCUGCUUGACUGCCCCGCACCAUCUCAUGCAUGCGCCUGUGUGCAGGCAAGUGAGCGUGUGUGCCCAUGCGGGUGGGCAUGUGAACUCCAAAUGUUCAUAUUGCUGGAACAGUCACAGAAUCCAUGAUGCCAGGCUUGGUGUCACCACCUUUCCUUUUGUCCAAGACUCCACAUGGAAAUAGCAUCUUAAAAGCUGUUCAGCCUAAACAAGCCUGUGGCUGGGAGCAGACCGAACCCAGAGUGGUCAUGGUGAGGGCAGCAGGAAGCCAGUCUCCCUCCUGAGGGUAGUUCCAGGGGCCCUGAAAGGUGUGUGGGGCUGUGCUCUGAACAUUGCCUCAAUCUUAAUGAAAGUGCUCUAAGCUGUGAUUCCUACCACCUCAAGACCCUCAUCUCAACCCAUAAUAUCCCUGAGUUCUUCUUGGUGUAAGUUCUGAGUGGCACUGACCAUAUUUCAGUUCCAUGGGAACCACACCACAUCAGCCCAAGCUAUAUGCCCAGAGCUCUCUUCCAUUCUCCUCUUGUCCAGCUUCACUUACUCUCAACCUCUUGUUUUCUUGCUGUUGUAAUUCUGCAAGGGUGUCUUUGCAACAUCUGCAUGCAUCUUCAGGAAUUGGAAAGAAAGAGCAUUUAUUAGGCACUGUAGCAAGUUUGCAUUUAAAAAUACAUUUUAAAACGCCUGCAUACUUAUUAAGCACCGUCGUAUAUCCUGUGGAUUUGAUAUUUGAUCUCAGCUACCUCAUUAAAUGUUUUUUUGAAAAAGUAUUUUUGUUAUUAUAAUCAGCUCAUGGUCGGAAAUGUUUCGUCAUGAUUGCUUUUGAAUCCAAAGGGCAAAAACAUCAGUAUCAUUGAGCUAUUUAAAAUUUCUACUUGAGCUCCAAUAAUGCUUUCUGGUGGGUAAAAUUCUACAUUCAGGCCAAGCCCAACAGGGCUGGAGAGCAUCUGCAGUUUGCAGCAUGGAGCAACAGGAUCCUGGAAUCUGUGAGCAAUUUUGUGGUCCAGUCUUUUAUGCCAGCUCAAAUUGUUUAAGCACACAAAAUCACAAGAAUGAAAAAGUUUACUUGCCUUCUCCCUAAAAAGAUGUUGCAGCCCAAUUUCUCCAAAUUCCACCAACAACAGAGCCUCUGACUAAGAAGAGCAGCUUUCCCCAUGCAUAUAAAGCAUAUGUCACAGCUACUGCAGGAAUUCUGAAGUACUUGGCCUUUCUCAGAAGACUGUAAUAUACCUGAAGUUUCUGAAAUAGUGCAAAGCUGCAGAGUUUAGGCUGGUGCUGCCAAAAAGAAAAGCAACCGAGAGUUUAUUUUUAAGUUUCCAGAAGUGAUGUGUAACUUGUUUUUCAUUUUAAACUGAAUAUAUGUGUAAUGAUAUAUGUUGAGAACUAAAGAUACUCUUCAGCAAGAGAAAAUAUUUUUACCUUAAUGCCACUGCUACAGCUACUUCUUUAACCUUAACUUUGGGAUUUAUAAAGCAAUCUCAAGAGCCCUGCUGCACUGUUUUGGUAACUGUUUAGUAAUCAUGAUUGCUUCUCAUGAGAAUUGUGCUGUGUAAACUCUGCUCAUGUGCUCUUAAAUUCCCCAGCUUGGGAAAUAUUUUUUGGUGUGUGCUCUACCCACGGUUUGUGUUCUCCUUGGUGGACUUUACCAAAAGCUACACAUUUUUGUUAACAAAGGGCAACCGAGCAUUUAACUUCAUAUGCAAUGCACUCUUCCUUUGCUGAAGUGUGGAUGUCAUAUGUGUUUCUGCCUGUGAGGGUUGUGAAGCAGGAUCGGAAUCUGCUCCUGUAGCAGUAAUGCUGGUUUAAUGGCAGAGGCCACAGUUUCCUCCAGAAGGUAGUACAGAGAGCACUCAGGAGAAGUGAAUUAAUUUCACCAUGAGAGAAAAAUUGAUCCUCAAUGUGAACAGAAAGAAAUCCAGAAAUUGGACUCGUAUUUCUCUUGACCACACGUGAGCACUGAUUAUGUGGCACUAAUGGAAUUACUGCAUUUGCCACAAGGCUGCAUAGCCCUGGUGCUCCAUGAACACUGGCUGCACAUUGUUGAAUGAAGUUUACUCUGAUUCCAUAUUUAGCUUUUAAUUUGAAGAAACACAGACUGGCUUGAAGAGCGAUUUAAGUCCAUUUCCUAAAUUGUCCUUGUCUAAAUCCAGGGGAAGAAGAAGGAGAUUUAACUUUUGACUCCAGGGAUAAUUUGGGCCUGAACUAAGGAUACAGGAGCUAAUAUACGUGGACCCUUUAACUGUAGGUGGCAGGCUUCACCUGUAUUCUGAGUGUCUGCUUUGAAUGCCUGGAAGCUCCUGACAAGGGCACAGGAAAGGGGCUGGAAUGGAGAUGACCCUCUGUACUGGCAGCAGCCCCUGCCGGUGUGGGAUGAUAUUCACUGAUCAGUGUCAGUCAUUAAAAUGCUUAUUCUGACUCAACAGGCCUGUCUAGAUGUAGCCCAGGUAAUCCAGUUGUAGAACCUCUGAGUACUCUCAUGUGCCAGCCUUAAAAGCCCUGAGAUGUCUCCACUUCCCACUCAUGAGGGUGUGCCAGAGCCUUGUCUCUGUGGAAAAGCACAGAGCCUCAGCAAGACCUCUGUGCUGUGUGUAGGACAUGAGGCAGCAGAAUUAGGAAAAUAGGUGUUUUGGUGAUGGCCUCAGUCCAGUAGGGUCACCCACCCCUCACAGCCUAACAUCCUUUCCUGUCCCCCUCUUCUUGCCAUAGGACCAGAUCUGGCACCAACAAUAAUCCUCUAAUAAUUGUCUGGUGUUCUGUGGGUUACAAACUAUCACUGUAAAGCUUUAUAAACUCACAGAGGGAAUUAUUUUAUUUAUUCACGUCUCAAAGAGGCCAAAAAAUACACCCCAAACUGAAAAUGUUAGUUCUGCUUUGCUUGAAUUUUGAUCUUUUAAUUCCGAAUCAGUGGGUUAAGUGAGAGGGAGGAGCUGAGCUGCCCCUGCACUUUGAACACAGAAGUUUAUAAGGCUCUAAUGAGGGUCAAGGGAGAACCAGCACCCCUGCAGCAAAGCAAUAUGGCUGCUGAAGCCAGAACCUCUCUUUGGUUGCUUCCACCCCAACACACACCCCUUUCUCCUUGGGGAGUUUGUUUGGGGCCCCAUCAGUGGAGUUGGCAGUUAGGAAAAUUGACAAUUACAGAGUGGGUCAUAAGGACUAGUUUAGGUGCUCCUGGUGCUAUGUGGCAGGGGAGGGGAAGAGAAAAACCAUUCCAGUUUCAGGGUGAGGAAGGCAGUGUUUAGGGAAGGCAUCUUGGAAGAAGUAAUACCUAAUUUGAGACUUCAAGCUUAAGAGCUAAAAUUAGUUGGGCAUAGUGGGAGGAAGGGGAGUCCAGGCACAGGCCCAGCAUGUGUGUUAACAUGGUGGCAUGAGGGAGCACAGUGCACUGGGAUGACCCUAAGAUACUCUGUGUGACUAAAGCAAGAACCAAGGAGUGGGCAGUGUUGGUAAGUGAUACAGACAAAACUGUACACACAAGCAAGGGCCCGGUCAGCCAGGUUGAUACUAUUGCUUAGUAUCUGUAUAUAUAUUAGUAUUCAGUAACUGGUUUACUUCUUAUACUAGCCCUUGGAGCUAAUCAAGCUCAGAGGUCAUGUCCUGCCAGCUUCCCACAGGGCUGAUUUCUGAGCUUAGAGCCUCACAAGAAGCAUGCAUGCCAUUAUGCAGAUGUAAUGAAUAGAGGUGGGGGCUGGCUACACUUGCUAGAGCGAGCAGGUACCAUGGUUGGUUGGCGUGUAGGUGGAGAAUGGAGGGUCCAUAUUGGAGGCCAGUCAGGGGCAGCUGUUAUAGUCAUCCAGGUGAUGGAAGAUGAUGCCCUGAACAGGGUCAUGGUGAUGGAGAUGAAGAGGGACAAAGAAGGCAAAUAGAUUUGGGCUUGAGGGAGUUUGGGAAGGGAGAAACAAAUGCUCUCAGUACUGGAUUGAAUGUGGGGGACUAUGGGUUUUGUGGCCUUUACACUCUGGAAUCUAGCUUCCAACACAAUGGUCCUUUGUGUCAACAUCCUACUUUCCUUUGAUGUCGGUGUGUGGGUUCUGAAAUGUCAAGGUUAGAUUUAAGGGGACUGCCAGACCUGGGGCCUCCAAGGACAAUCAUCCCAGCUUUGCAAAUUAGGUCAAAUUUAUCCAUGCACCCAGAACAGACUCCCAGGAACUAGAUUCAUAACAAUGUGGAAGUCAAAUGUCCAAUUUUGUAAUUUAUUGUGAAAGAUAAAAAAAAAAAAGUAGCUUUAUGAAAACCAAUUUUAUUCACUAGGCUAUCUCUCUUUCAUUGUCAGGAUUUUGGAGGAAGACAAAUUAGUCAUUAGGCAUUGUCUUAUGAGAUGGACAUGGAGCUAAGAGCCUUGGCAAGGAGGCGGGGGAUAAUCCUGAUCUGGUGUGCCCCAUAAUCAGAUUGAUAUUCCCAUAACAUACUUAAGUGGUAUUUCUACCAGGCUCCUGUUUUGCGCCCUGAAGUUAUCUUUCCAGGGUCUAGUGGACCAUCAAGUUUAUGUACUCUCUCUGCCCAAGGUGAUCUUGGACUUAAAUCACAUUUUUAGAGCAACUUCAUUUUUUAAAAAAUUUUAUUUUGUUUUUUUUCAGUGUUCCAAGAUUCAUUGUUCAUGCACCACACCCAGUGCUCCUUGCAAUACGUAGAGCACCUUCAUUAACCUUGGGUAUCCUUAUGUGUCUUCAGUAGCAUUUAUGCUUUUCUGUGGGGAUAGGUUCCCACUCGUGGCUUUUUUUCUUAUUUAUUGGGUGCCUAUUCUUUCUAGUUUCUGUCUCAGCAGGGAACCUCACUUCCAACUUCUGGGUCUGUUUUGUGUUCCUCUUGCAUAGAGACAGCUUAUAAAAUCUGGUGAUUUGUGUGCAUGUGUGUGUGUGUGUGUGUGUGUCUGUGUGUGUGUGUGUGCACAUACACCUGUGUCUUAUGUUUUUAUUAGCUUUAGAGAAAUCCUUAGCUUUCAGGGGAGUCAUGUGUGCAACAUCAAGGGUAACUUGAGCUCGGGUACCUUAAAUGGCAGGUACUUGGGGCACCCAAGGAAAUGUCAGAGCCCAUAUUGCACAACUAGAGCUAGUCACGAAGAGCUGCUCUGCACACCAGUAUCUAGUCAUAAAAAUAGGGAACACACUAAAAAUCAAAACCCUGUGAUCCCACACUAGAUGACUCCUCCCAUCCUGACCCUAAGUUAUUAAUAAUUUUAUUAAGAAUGUGCUUUCAACAUGCUUACAUUUAUAUAUGUACUUAACAAGAAAUCACCAAGACUCCAGAGGGAAGUUCUUCUUCCCUUUCCUUUUUAUUGCCCAGAGAAAGAGAGAAACUGCGAAGAAGGAGGGGGCAAAAAGCUGCAUUUGACUUGUCACCGGAGGCUUGAGCAUAUCAAUCAUUCACUUCUUAGAAUUCAGUAGGGUCUCCUGAGGCCUUGGGUUCAUUGAGACUGUCAUGGACUUGGAUGCAUGUAAUGCACUGGCCACAUUUCAUCAUGCAGACAGAUCUUGACACUUUGCUCUUGUUUUCCUAUCCCCACUCUAGAUCUUGAGACCUGUCACUGCAGUAACAGGACAUAAUUAGUUCAGCCAGUACCAAAAUUAGUAAUCAACAUUGGUAUCUAUUUUGCAGCUAAGGCUUAACCACCUAAUAAGCAUCCGAGUAAACGUUGCAAGUGCUGUGCCUGUGUCUCUUUCCAUCAGGGGAAAGAACUGCCAGUCCGCAUUUGAACAUCUGCACGUUUAGGUUUAUUUUGGCUCUGGAUAUCUAUGCAAACUGUUGAUCAAGAGUUAGUAAUUUGCAGUUAAUUUUCCUGAAGUUUCCAGUUCACUUAUUAGAGUCUGGUGUCAAAAGAGCUAUUUUAGCAGGUGACUGAAAUUACUAGGCAGUUCAACAUUCUGAGUGUGAUGUUGACUAGUUAGAGGUGGGGUUAGGAGAUAUAUUGAAUGGGAUUGUACCUGAGCACAUCCUUCAUUCAAAGACCUACUUAAGAAAACUAGAUAAGGGGGCGCCUGGGUGGCUCAGUGGGUUAAAGCCUCUGCCUUCAGCUCGGGUCAUGAUCCCAGGGUCCUGGGAUCGAGCCCCACAUCGGGCUCUCUGCUCAGCAGGGAGCCUGCUUCCUCCUCUCUCUGCCUGCUUGUAAUCUCUGUCUGUCAAAUAAAUAAAUAAAUAAAAUCUUUAAAAAAAAGAAAACUAGAUAGGAGCCAGAGGUUUAAAAAAAAUAAAACUUUGAUUUUUGUGGGGUUAACAAUUUCUUCUAGAAAUAAUGUAGUUUAUGCUGAUCACACCAUUUGUCUAUUUGCCCAACUUGACCCAAGGAGGCCGCAUUACAGUGGCCUUUCCAUUUAGCUUCUUAGUCUUCCAGGACACAUAUCAGUGACAAGCAAAUAUGUGAUGAAUGGAACAUUGCCAUCAACAUGGUGUUGGUCCCUCUCUCCCCUUCAAGUCUGUUGAUCGAUCACCAAGUGCUUUGCCCUCAGCCUCUUGUGCCCUUCACCAGAAGUGGCCAAACCAGCACAAACAGGAACCAUACUUUCUGGUGAGCAGGUUUGCCUUUUGUUUGUUGGCUAUGGGUUUUCCCAAGGCACUGAUAUGGAGCCUUUUUGGAAAAUAAAAAUCAAAAACCCUCCACAUGUGCACUAAAGAAAUGUCACCUUCUGCUUUGCAAAGGGUGUGCCCUUCAAGGCAAGAGACCCAAGUAGCACUGAGCUUCCUCAGAAUGGGAGUCCCUAGAGAAGCUUGUCAUGUGCCAGGGGUCAGAUGUUUGUAUUCUCCUUGGUUCAUGUUAAGCCACACUGAUAUGGUGGCAGAGAGAAAGGCAAGAAGGUGUGAAAGGAGAGGACCAUUUCUCAACUGUUUGCAGAAGCCUUCAUGAAUCUCCCCAAAUCAGGUGCAUCCCAGAGGUGUACUGAAGAUGUGGGCUAAAGCCCAUUUCAUGCCUUGAUAAUUCACUAUCCUACAGCAGACAGGCCUAUUUUCUGCUUUGCCAGAACCCCUUCCCAUCAUCUUCCACCUUCCAAGAGCAGAAAGGCACAGGUCCUGAUAGAGUAGGUUGGAGGAGAUGAGAGGCCAAGGUCUCUCUGGUGACCAGGCAGCCAAGAUAGUCACAGGCCAGACAGGCCUGACUAAGGUCCAUUUUAAUCCCCAUUCUCUGGAAUACCUUGGGGAAGUCCCAGAGGAGGCAACCCACUCAUGUGGGGAACUUCUUCUAAGACUGGAGUAAAGAAGCUCUGUAGAAGAGAUGAGCAGAGCUAGAGGACACCAUGUGUCAUGGCACAGUGAUGUGCCCAGAGACAGCCUCAUAGCCUUCCUGGGUAGCAUUUUAUGUGUCUAGAAAGGCCUUUCUAAUUGUGAAGAGCUCCCAUGUAGGUUACAAGACAAUCAGCCUCUUGAUGGUCAACAGUUAUUCAGCACUUAAUAUGGGAGAGAAGCUGGCAUUGAGACUUUUUCUUGAAAUCUCUUCUGACAACAAUCUUAUGGGAUAGAUUUUACUAUGGGAGGAACUAAGUUCUAGAAAAUUUGAGCAUUACCCAGUCUCAGGGCCAGAAAGUGACCAAGUGAGGAUUGUAAUCCAAGGAAUCUGGCUCAGGUGUGCCUAAAUGUCACUACUUCUUUCAAAAUGCCACUACUCCUGGGAGGCUAAGCUAAUAAAGUGCUAACAGUCAUGUGUACUCAUGUUCAAGUUUUUUUCUGAAGGUGGGUUUAUGUUAGAUUAGAGGCCUAGUGGGAAGAUUAAGGUGGAAGAUUGCUAAGUAUAGUUAAAUAGGCACAUGAGAAAGGCAUUUCUUUUUUCUUUCCAUCAAAGCCUGGCCAUUGUGUGUACACUAUUGCUGCCACACAUACCUCUGACUGGGUAUUUCUGAUUUAGCCUAGAGUAGCAGGCAGAGUACUGAGAUACCCUAGGGCCCCAGGAGGCCCUUUGCAAGAACAUAGAAUGGCCAUGUGUGUACAGGAAGAGGAAAGAGAGUGCCUGUUACUUUAAGCAGAUGGUAUUCUGUCUUUGAUGUGCCAUCAUUAUACAAAUAGAGGAACCUCAGUGAAGUUUUUUCAAGAAGCUCAGGGAUUUGCUGCCACCCAAGUCAAAUAACUCACAUGGAAACAUUCAUCAAGGACAGAGACGUGGAAAGCAACAGUAGAUGUCAAAGCAACCAGAGACUGACAGGACCUCCUUCCAAUCCCUGGGGCUGAGGGCCAGGGCUGAGAGAUGGAGUUACUAGAGCCAAGUAAAAAGUGAGCCAUGAAGGGGUGCCUGAGCAGGGCAGGUCUUUAAGAAGUAAGGGAGACUGGGAGGAAGCAGAGUAGAAGUCUCCCAUCUGGGGCGCCUGGGUGGCUCAGUGGGUUAAGCCGCUGCCUUCGGCUCAGGUCAUGAUCCCAGGUCCUGGGUUUGAGCCCCACAUCGGGCUUUCUGCUCAGCAGGGAGCCUGCUUCCUCCUCUCUCUCUGCCUGCCUCUCUGUUUACUUGUGAUUUCUCUCUGUCAAAUAAAUAAAUAAAAUCUUUAAAAAAAAAAAAAAAGAAAAAAGAAGUCUCCCAUCUAUUAUCCUCUUGUCCUAUCUCCCUGUACCUAAUGGGAAGCUGGCCAGCAGAGGAUUUUGCAUGCCACGUCCAUGGGGGACAGAACAGUGUGAUUACCGUACAAUAGGCAGCCCUGGUGGGCGGAGACACAGUGAUAGGAUGGAGGAAGUGCCACAAGCUUCCAAGAAGUAUCUAAGUGUCAACAAGCUGAUACUAAAAGUGGGCCUGAGUGGGGAGCCUGGGUUCUCCUACACACUUUGUCCUGAAGUAUGCUAUCUGGAGCUUGGCCUGUGACUCACUGCUUUCAUCUUUAGAAAGCUUUUAGAAGCAUCCAUGUCUGCCAGUAUGCCCCUGCUGAUCUGUGCUUUCUUAUGGCCUUUCUGGAGAAAUGACACCCUCUAACAUUAAGGCCAUCAGCCAUGACAUCUGAGCCUCUGCUACAAAUUGUGCCCAUGUGAGAGGCCCUACCCCCUGUACUGAAGCCCAUGAAGAGGAGGGA
This is an RNA transcript of Lutra lutra (Eurasian river otter), 10185 nucleotides long. It is a transcript of the gene named dual specificity phosphatase 22, with no coding region annotated. The transcript has 9 exons. The record is from RefSeq and is a predicted model, not a curated record. NCBI's taxonomy places the organism in Eukaryota, Metazoa, Chordata, Mammalia, Carnivora, Mustelidae.